GUUCUUCCCGUAAAGGGAAGCUAAGAGGGAAGCAGGUAUAAGUCCUGCGCGGUCCCGCCACUGUAAACGGAGAGUUCUUGUUAAGGCUGUGCCAUCCACUGAUAUCAUUAUCGGGAAGGAUAACAACGAACGUUGACCCGUAAGCCAGGAGACCUGCAUAGA
RNAcentral lists this non-coding RNA (162 nucleotides) under uncultured Emergencia sp. The record is from RNAcentral. Lineage: Bacteria; Bacillati; Bacillota; Clostridia; Peptostreptococcales; Anaerovoracaceae.